UACGAGGGGGGCGAGCGUUGUUCGGAAUCACUGGGCGUAAAGCGUGCGUAGGCUGUUCUACCAGUCAGAAGUGAAAGCCCGAGGCUCAACCUCGGAAUUGCUUUUGAAACUGUAGGACUCGAAUUCGGGAGAGGAUAGCGGAAUUGUCAGUGUAGCAGUGAAAUGCGUAGAUAUUGACAGGAACACCAGUGGCGUAAGCGGCUAUCUGGACCGACAUUGACGCUGAGGCACGAAAGCGUGGGGAUCAAACAGG
RNAcentral lists this ribosomal RNA (253 nucleotides) under uncultured bacterium. RNAcentral describes it as "partial 16S ribosomal RNA". It matches the Rfam family "Bacterial small subunit ribosomal RNA", at positions 524 to 776 of the family's 1533-position model. The record is from RNAcentral.